This 468-nucleotide ribosomal RNA is filed under the name uncultured bacterium. RNAcentral's name for it is "partial 16S ribosomal RNA". It matches the Rfam family "Bacterial small subunit ribosomal RNA", at positions 28 to 507 of the family's 1533-position model. The record is from RNAcentral.
GACGAACGCUGGCGGCGUGCUUAACACAUGCAAGUCGAACGGAAAGGCCCUGCUUUUGUGGGGUGCUCGAGUGGCGAACGGGUGAGUAACACGGGAGUAACCUGCCCUUGACUUUGGGAUAACUUCAGGAAACUGGGGCUAAUACCGGAUAGGAGCUCCUGCUGCAUGGUGGGGGCUGGAAAGUUUCGGCGGUUGGGGAUGGACUCGCGGCUUAUCAGCUUGUUGGUGGGGUAGUGGCUUACCAAGGCUUUGACGGGUAGCCGGCCUGAGAGGGUGACCGGCCACAUUGGGACUGAGAUACGGCCCAGACUCCUACGGGAGGCAGCAGUGGGGAAUAUUGCACAAUGGGCGGAAGCCUGAUGCAGCAACGCCGCGUGCGGGAUGACGGCCUUCGGGUUGUAAACCGCUUUCGCCUGUGACGAAGCGUGAGUGACGGUAAUGGGUAAAGAAGCACCGGCUAACUACGUG